UACGAGGGGAGCAAGCGUUGUUCGGAUUUACUGGGCGUAAAGGGCGCGUAGGCGGUCGUGACAAGUCACUUGUGAAAUCUCCGGGCUUAACUCGGAACGGUCAAGUGAUACUGUCGGACUAGAGUACAGAAGGGGCAACUGGAAUUCUCGGUGUAGCGGUGAAAUGCGUAGAUAUCUGGAGGAACACCGGUGGCGAAGGCGGCAUCCUGGACCAACACUGACACUGAGGAGCGAAAGCCAGGGGAGCAAACGGG
RNAcentral lists this ribosomal RNA (254 nucleotides) under uncultured bacterium. RNAcentral's name for it is "partial 16S ribosomal RNA". It matches the Rfam family "Bacterial small subunit ribosomal RNA", at positions 524 to 776 of the family's 1533-position model. The record is from RNAcentral.